AGUGAACGCUGGCGGUAGGCCUAACACAUGCAAGUCGAACGGCAGCACAGUAAGAGCUUGCUCUUACGGGUGGCGAGUGGCGGACGGGUGAGGAAUAGAUCGGAAUCUACUUUUUCGUGGGGGAUAACGUAGGGAAACUUACGCUAAUACCGCAUACGACCUACGGGUGAAAGCAGGGGAUCUUCGGACCUUGCGCGAUUGAAUGAGCCGAUGUCGGAUUAGCUAGUUGGCGGGGUAAAGGCCCACCAAGGCGACGAUCCGUAGCUGGUCUGAGAGGAUGAUCAGCCACACUGGAACUGAGACACGGUCCAGACUCCUACGGGAGGCAGCAGUGGGGAAUAUUGGACAAUGGGCGCAAGCCUGAUCCAGCCAUACCGCGUGGGUGAAGAAGGCCUUCGGGUUGUAAGGCCCUUUUGUUGGGAAAGAAAAGCAGCAGGUUAAUACCCCGCUGUUCUGACGGUACCCAAAGAAUAAGCACCGGCUAACUUCGUG
This 492-nucleotide ribosomal RNA is filed under the name uncultured bacterium. Its description in RNAcentral is "partial 16S ribosomal RNA". It matches the Rfam family "Bacterial small subunit ribosomal RNA", at positions 29 to 507 of the family's 1533-position model. The record is from RNAcentral.